GGCAAAAUUCGUAACUAUCCUGAAGAGGCAGAAGGAUACUACGUAAUCUUAUUGGCAAGAACAUUUUGGGCCGAUUGCGGAAGUGUCAGAUCAGAGUCACUCGUGAAGCUCGCUACAUACAUUCAUUGCACAUACUCAUGUGGUUCCGUAUACUUUAAAUUGUUUACGGAAAUAAUAAUUCGACGACCAUAAGAAGAUUUCCUGCUGAAGCGACUGCGGCUGUUUGUCUUCUGGUGACAGAGAGGAAAUCCGUUAUGGACACACCGCGGCCCGGGGGACAUGAGGGUUACGUCGGACUCGAACCGACUGACACCCGCAAGGCUUCAUUCGACACGUCUGGGAGGAAUCACGGGACGCUAUUUCACUUCCAAGAUCGCACCAGCCUUUGGCCUAAGCGCCCAACGCGGCUAGCAGCUCCCGAGAGGCUCCCUCGAACACCGAGGUAUACUUAUUACUCUCAUUAGAUUAAGAUUCUUCAAUGCUGAACAAAACAGGCGGAUAAUGUAUGAAAUGUUAAUGUCUUUAUGUUUAGGUUUGCGAAUCUUAUUUGAAUUUUGUUUCAAGAAACUACGUCCAGAAAUUGUAAGUUUGACCUGUUAACGUAUGCCUUAUAUUACAUUUAUCUGUCACGCGCCGGGCAUUCAGACAAAGGUGUUUAACACUUACAUUUUGUUCUUUUCAUCUGAUAAUCAUACACAAAGAAACUUCACUGCACCCCAAUCAAAUGUAGUCAAACCACUUAUAACUUUCUCGUUAAUAUUAAAAUAAUAUUUGGAC
RNAcentral lists this unclassified non-coding RNA (777 nucleotides) under Melitaea cinxia (Glanville fritillary). RNAcentral's name for it is "misc RNA ENSMCXG00005013910.1". Lineage: Eukaryota; Metazoa; Arthropoda; Insecta; Lepidoptera; Nymphalidae. The record is from RNAcentral.